Molecule: ribosomal RNA, 1402 nt
Filed under: uncultured bacterium
Lineage: Bacteria
Description: partial 16S ribosomal RNA
Rfam family: Bacterial small subunit ribosomal RNA
Source: RNAcentral
AGAGUUUGAUCCUGGCUCAGGAUGAACGCUGGCGGUCUGCUUAACACAUGCAAGUCGAACGGACUCUUCGGAGUUAGUGGCGGACGGGUGAGUAACGCGUGAGAAUCUGCCUCUAGAACGGGGACAACAGAGGGAAACUUCUGCUAAUCCCGGAUGAGCCGAAAGGUCGAAGAUUUAUCGUCUAGAGAUGAGCUCGCGUCUGAUUAGCUAGUUGGUAAGGUAAAGGCUUACCAAGGCGACGAUCAGUAGCUGGUCUGAGAGGAUGAUCAGCCACACUGGGACUGAGACACGGCCCAGACUCCUACGGGAGGCAGCAGUGGGGAAUUUUCCGCAAUGGGCGCAAGCCUGACGGAGCAAGACCGCGUGGGGGAGGAAAACCUUUGGGUUGUAAACCCCUUUUCUCAGGGAAGAACAAAGUGACGGUACCUGAGGAAUCAGCCUCGGCUAACUCCGUGCCAGCAGCCGCGGUAAUACGGAGGAGGCAAGCGUUAUCCGGAAUGAUUGGGCGUAAAGCGUUCGUAGGUGGCAAUUCAAGUCUGCUGUCAAAGACAGUAGCUCAACUACUGCAAGGCAGUGGAAACUGAAUAGCUAGAGUGCGGUAGGGGCAGAGGGAAUUCCCGGUGUAGCGGUGAAAUGCGUAGAGAUCGGGAGGAACACCGGUGGCGAAAGCGCUCUGCUGGGCCGCAACUGACACUGAGGGACGAAAGCUAGGGGAGCGAAUGGGAUUAGAUACCCCAGUAGUCCUAGCUGUAAACGAUGGAAACUAGGUGUUGCCUGUAUCGACCCAGGCAGUGCCGUAGCUAACGCGUAAGUUACCGCUGGGGAAGCAAAGCGUGAGUAUGUGGUUUAAUUCGAUGCAACGCGAAGAACCUUACCAGGGCUUGACAUGUCCGGAAUUCUGGGGAAACUCGGAAGUGCUUUCGGGAACCGGAACACAGAUGGUGCAUGGCUGUCGUCAGCUCGUGUCGUGAGAUGUUGGGUUAAGUCCCGCAACGAGCGCAACCCUCGUUUUUAGUUGCCAUCAUUAAGUUGGGCACUCUAGAGAGACUGCCGGUGACAAACCGGAGGAAGGUGGGGAUGACGUCAAGUCAUCAUGCCCCUUACGUCCUGGGCUACACACGUACUACAAUGGUAAGGACAAAGGGCAGCCACUUCGCGAGGAGGAGCUAAUCCCGUAAACCUUGCCUCAGUUCAGAUUGCAGGCUGCAACUCGCCUGCAUGAAGGAGGAAUCGCUAGUAAUCGCAGGUCAGCAUACUGCGGUGAAUCCGUUCCCGGGCCUUGUACACACCGCCCGUCACACCAUGGAAGUUAGCCAUGCCCGAAGUCAUUACUCUAACCUUUCGAGGAGGAGGGUGCCGAAGGCAGGGCUGAUGACUGGGGUGAAGUCGUAACAAGGUAACC